GAUUUAACUCGCGUCAAAUUGGGACUCAUAAUCCCCUGGUCGCUGGUUCAAACCCAGCAGGGGCCACCA
RNAcentral lists this transfer RNA (69 nucleotides) under Pantoea sp. WMus005. RNAcentral describes it as "tRNA-Ile". Lineage: Bacteria; Pseudomonadati; Pseudomonadota; Gammaproteobacteria; Enterobacterales; Erwiniaceae. The record is from RNAcentral.